This 301-nucleotide ribosomal RNA is filed under the name uncultured bacterium. Its description in RNAcentral is "partial 16S ribosomal RNA". It matches the Rfam family "Bacterial small subunit ribosomal RNA", at positions 509 to 807 of the family's 1533-position model. The record is from RNAcentral.
CAGCCGCCACGGGAAUACGUAGGGUGCAAGCGUUAAUCGGAAUUACUGGGCGUAAAGCGUGCGUAGGUGGUGGUUUAAGUCCGUUGUGAAAGCCCUGGGCUCAACCUGGGAAUUGCAGUGGAUACUGGGUCACUAGAGUGUGGUAGAGGAUAGUGGAAUUUCCGGUGUAGCAGUGAAAUGCGUAGAGAUCGGAAGGAACAUCUGUGGCGAAGGCGACUAUCUGGGCCAACACUGACACUGAGGCACGAAAGCGUGGGGAGCAAACAGGAUUAGAUACCCCUGUAGUCCCUGUCUCUUAUAC